Molecule: small RNA, 1789 nt
Filed under: Pan troglodytes (chimpanzee)
Lineage: Eukaryota; Metazoa; Chordata; Mammalia; Primates; Hominidae
Description: sense intronic
Source: RNAcentral
CACUCUUCUCCAACCUCUCACUCUGUUGUUCUCUCAUCUGCCAGAAAGCACACCACUCUUGGACAAAGAAAAACUGAUGACCCUUCAGUGCUGGAGUUUUCCAGGCAGGAAGGACAGGGAGGUUCAGAGAAUCACAACGUUUGAAGGGAGUGUGAAGAUCAGGUGGUCCCAUCCCAUGAUGCAUGAAAACCUCUAUAAUAUUAGGAUAAGGGCUUCAGUUCUCUGCCGGGUUUCCAGAACGGAUUCAAUUACCCAAAAUGGAGGCAAGACUCCCAAAGUAUUUUAACAACAGAUAACCAGAACCAGAGACCCCAUUCAUUGCCCUAGAAAAUCCCCUCCUGUCUUCAUUAAGCCCUUUGAGGCUGUCCACCCAAAGCAUUGGGUCUGAUUGGGAACUGUCUUUUAGCCAUGCUUACUGGAUCCCCAGGAGAGGAAAACUAUUUGGAUAUAAAAAAAUUAUUUCAGCUGAUUUGGACAAGAUUAUCGCUUUCUUUUCCCACCAACUCCCCCCAUCUCCCCCACCCCUGCCAACUCUUCACCUCAUCUCACGAGACUGGAGAGCUCCUGGAGUGAUCUUGUCCCACCUUCCCCAGGGCUUCCCCACCUCAUCUACCUGCUGAAUGGGUAGGUAAAAGAUCUCUAAACUUACAGAUUCACAGCACCAACAUGAGGUUGCAUGGGGGCAGGCCAUGAAGAGAGAAGAAGAAGGGUUUGGGGACCCAUAUUCUGGCAGUUUUUCUACCAUCACCCCAAACUACAAGCAACAGCUCUUGGCUGUACAAAUGAGAGUGUCUAUGUUGAACAUAAAUAUGCAAUCAUUAAAGAUGUGUCAGUUUGGAAAGAAAGGGACUUUAGAGGAGGCCGUGUCUCAAAUUCUUUCCCUAUCUCACCCAUCUUCCACUUUCCCUCUCCCAGUCUCUGCCCUCCCCAACACUUUCUCCCAUCUUUAUCUCCUCUCAUACAACACUGAUGAAUUCUAUCAGCCAUGACAGUCUUGUCCUGCUGCACUUUAAAAUGGCAGAUCUUAAAUCAUCUUUCCAGUUUCUUCCAUAAUUGACAUAGUCAAGUUUUCUGCUUCAUCUUGAGUCAAGCUUGAGCAUUUGCUAAGAUAUAAUCAAUUUUCUUUAGCUUUAAAUGUUUGUGGCCAUAGAGUUACUUAUAAUGUUCUCAUAGAAUAAUUUCAGUCUCUCCUGUAUGCAUGGUUUUAUCCCCUUCUCAUUUCUACUCUUACAUAAUUUUGUUAUCUCUUUUCUUUAAUCAGGUUUGCAAGGGGUUCAUUAAUUUUAUUGACUUUUUCAAAGAAGCGAUUUUGGAUUUAUUUGUCCUUUCUACUUGUUUUGGUUUGUUUUCUUUUGAUUUAUUUUUCCUGUUUUCUUAAGGUUUAAAUGUUAUUUUCUAAUGUUUUAAAAUUGAUGUAGAAUUCCUUCAUUUUAGGUCUUUCUAACAACAAAGCCAUUUACAGCUAUUAAUUUUCUCCUGAGUACAGCUUUAGCUGGAUACUAUAGGUUUUAGAAUAAAGGAGUCUACAUUUAUCAUUUUUUAAAUAGUUUGUAAUUUUAAUUUUUAUUCCUCUUUGGUUGUUUGAGGAUUAUUUAAUAAUGGGUUUCUUAAUUUCUAGCAUUGAGGAAUCUUUUGAUUUUUUUUAACUUUGUAUAUCUAGUUUUAUUGGAUUAUGAGCAGAAAACAUGGCCUGUAAAAAUCUUUAUUUUAAAAUUGUGUGAAUUUUUCUUCAUUGUCAAGUACCUGAUUGAUUUUGGACAUAUAAAAUUAAAUUUUACUUUGAAAGAAA